AUUGAACGCUGGCGGCAGGCCUAACACAUGCAAGUCGAACGGUAACAGGAAGCAGCUUGCUGCUUUGCCGACGAGUGGCGGACGGGUGAGUAAUGUCUGGGAAACUGCCUGAUGGAGGGGGAUAACUACUGGAAACGGUAGCUAAUACCGCAUAACGUCGCAAGACCAAAGAGGGGGACCUUAGGGCCUCUUGCCAUCGGAUGUGCCCAGAUGGGAUUAGCUAGUAGGUGGGGUAACGGCUCACCUAGGCGACGAUCCCUAGCUGGUCUGAGAGGAUGACCAGCCACACUGGAACUGAGACACGGUCCAGACUCCUACGGGAGGCAGCAGUGGGGAAUAUUGCACAAUGGGCGCAAGCCUGAUGCAGCCAUGCCGCGUGUAUGAAGAAGGCCUUCGGGUUGUAAAGUACUUUCAGCGGGGAGGAAGGGAGUAAAGUUAAUACCUUUGCUCAUUGACGUUACCCGCAGAAGAAGCACCGGCUAACUCCGUG
RNAcentral lists this ribosomal RNA (490 nucleotides) under uncultured bacterium. RNAcentral describes it as "partial 16S ribosomal RNA". It matches the Rfam family "Bacterial small subunit ribosomal RNA", at positions 30 to 507 of the family's 1533-position model. The record is from RNAcentral.